RNAcentral lists this ribosomal RNA (253 nucleotides) under uncultured bacterium. Its description in RNAcentral is "partial 16S ribosomal RNA". It matches the Rfam family "Bacterial small subunit ribosomal RNA", at positions 524 to 776 of the family's 1533-position model. The record is from RNAcentral.
UAUGUAGGGUGCGAGCGUUAAUCGGAAUUACUGGGCGUAAAGGGUGCGCAGGCGGCGUCGCAAGUCAGGCGUGAAAUCCCCGGGCUUAACCUGGGAACUGCACUUGAAACUACGAUGCUGGAGUAUGGCAGAGGGAGGUGGAAUUCCACGUGUAGCGGUGAAAUGCGUAGAGAUGUGGAGGAACACCGAUGGCGAAGGCAGCCUCCUGGGCCAAUACUGACGCUCAUGCACGAAAGCGUGGGGAGCAAACAGG